This 687-nucleotide ribosomal RNA is filed under the name Enterococcus faecalis. RNAcentral describes it as "bacterial SSU rRNA". It matches the Rfam family "Bacterial small subunit ribosomal RNA", at positions 1 to 660 of the family's 1533-position model. Lineage: Bacteria; Bacillati; Bacillota; Bacilli; Lactobacillales; Enterococcaceae. The record is from RNAcentral.
UUUUUAGAGUUUGAUUCCCUGCUCAGGACGAACGCUGGCGGCGUGCCUAAUACAUGCAAGUCGAACGCUUCUUUCCUCCCGAGUGCUUGCACUCAAUUGGAAAGAGGAGUGGCGGACGGGUGAGUAACACGUGGGUAACCUACCCAUCAGAGGGGGAUAACACUUGGAAACAGGUGCUAAUACCGCAUAACAGUUUAUGCCGCAUGGCAUAAGAGUGAAAGGCGCUUUCGGGUGUCGCUGAUGGAUGGACCCGCGGUGCAUUAGCUAGUUGGUGAGGUAACGGCUCACCAAGGCCACGAUGCAUAGCCGACCUGAGAGGGUGAUCGGCCACACUGGGACUGAGACACGGCCCAGACUCCUACGGGAGGCAGCAGUAGGGAAUCUUCGGCAAUGGACGAAAGUCUGACCGAGCAACGCCGCGUGAGUGAAGAAGGUUUUCGGAUCGUAAAACUCUGUUGUUAGAGAAGAACAAGGACGUUAGUAACUGAACGUCCCCUGACGGUAUCUAACCAGAAAGCCACGGCUAACUACGUGCCAGCAGCCGCGGUAAUACGUAGGUGGCAAGCGUUGUCCGGAUUUAUUGGGCGUAAAGCGAGCGCAGGCGGUUUCUUAAGUCUGAUGUGAAAGCCCCCGGCUCAACCGGGGAGGGUCAUUGGAAACUGGGAGACUUGAGUGCAGAAGAGGAGA